CCAGAUAGCUCAGUCGGUAGAGCGGAGGACUGAAAAUCCUUGUGUCCCUGGUUCGAUUCCUGGUCUGGC
This 69-nucleotide transfer RNA is filed under the name human gut metagenome. It matches the Rfam family "tRNA". Rfam says of the family: Transfer RNA (tRNA) molecules are approximately 80 nucleotides in length. Their secondary structure includes four short double-helical elements and three loops (D, anti-codon, and T loops). The record is from RNAcentral.